This 482-nucleotide ribosomal RNA is filed under the name uncultured bacterium. RNAcentral describes it as "partial 16S ribosomal RNA". It matches the Rfam family "Bacterial small subunit ribosomal RNA", at positions 30 to 507 of the family's 1533-position model. The record is from RNAcentral.
UUGAACGCUGGCGGCAGGCCUCACACAUGCAAGUCGAGCGGAUGAAGGGAGCUUGCUCCUGGAUUCAGCGGCGGACGGGUGAGUAAUGCCUAGGAAUCUGCCUGGUAGUGGGGGAUAACGUCCGGAAACGGGCGCUAAUACCGCAUACGUCCUGAGGGAGAAAGUGGGGGAUCUUCGGACCUCACGCUAUCAGAUGAGCCUAGGUCGGAUUAGCUAGUUGGUGGGGUAAAGGCCUACCAGGCGACGAUCCGUAACUGGUCUGAGAGGAUGAUCAGUCACACUGGAACUGAGACACGGUCCAGACUCCUACGGGAGGCAGCAGUGGGGAAUAUUGGACAAUGGGCGAAAGCCUGAUCCAGCCAUGCCGCGUGUGUGAAGAAGGUCUUCGGAUUGUAAAGCACUUUAAGUUGGGAGGAAGGGCAGUAAGUUAAUACCUUGCUGUUUUGACGUUACCAACAGAAUAAGCACCGGCUAACUUCGUG